GAGAAUCAACCAUUAAAUAAAAAAAAAAAGAGAGAAAACAUGAGAGAAAGAUUGGUGAGGAUCCAAAUCUAGAGAUUUAAAAUAGCUAUUUAAAAUACCUUCUUAGUUUACGGAUUUUUUGAAAUUUUAUUAGAGUUUUUUUUUUUUGGUGAAUAAAUUUUAUUAGAGUUUAAAAUUGUACUCCUUUUACCAAAAAAUAGUACUACUUAUGUUUUUUGCAUGUGUUGCUG
This 230-nucleotide long non-coding RNA is filed under the name Trifolium pratense (red clover). Its description in RNAcentral is "long non-coding RNA (TPRA_LNC014010)". Lineage: Eukaryota; Viridiplantae; Streptophyta; Magnoliopsida; Fabales; Fabaceae. The record is from RNAcentral.